This 380-nucleotide ribosomal RNA is filed under the name uncultured bacterium. Its description in RNAcentral is "bacterial SSU rRNA". It matches the Rfam family "Bacterial small subunit ribosomal RNA", at positions 145 to 507 of the family's 1533-position model. The record is from RNAcentral.
AACCCGGGGAAACUCGGGGCUUAAUACCAAAUGUGUUCACUCCUUCUAAGGGGAGUGAGGAAAGGAAGCUUCGGCCUCCGCAUUGAGAUGGGCCCGCGGCCCAUUAGCUUGUUGGUGAGGUAACGGCUCACCAAGGCUUCGAUGGGUAGCUGGUCUGAGAGGACGAUCAGCCCAACACUGGGACCUGAGACACGGCCCAGACUCCUACGGGAGGCAGCAGGUGGGGAAUCUUGCACAAUGCGCGAAAGCGUGAUGCAGCAACGCCGCGUGGGGAAGACGGCCUUCGGGUUGUAAACCCCUUUCAGUUGGGACGAAGCUUCGUCGGUGAAUAGCCGGUUGGAGUGACGGUACCUUCAGAAGAAGCCCCGGCUAACUACGUG